RNAcentral lists this unclassified non-coding RNA (253 nucleotides) under uncultured Carnobacteriaceae bacterium. Its description in RNAcentral is "contains 16S-23S intergenic spacer region". It matches the Rfam family "Bacterial small subunit ribosomal RNA", at positions 524 to 776 of the family's 1533-position model. Lineage: Bacteria; Bacillati; Bacillota; Bacilli; Lactobacillales; Carnobacteriaceae. The record is from RNAcentral.
UACGGAGGGGACAAGCGUUGACCGGAAUUAUUGGGCGUAAAGCGAGCGCAGGCGGUCUGUUAAGUCUGAUGUGAAAGCCCACGGCUCGACCGUGGAGGGUCAUUGGAAACUGGAAGACUUGAAUGCAGAAGAGGAAAGUGGAAUUCCAGGUGUAGCGGUGAAAUGCGUAGAUAUAUGGAGGAACACCAGUGGCGAAGGCGACUUUCUGGUCUGUAAUUGACGCUGAGGCUCGAAAGCGUGGGGAGCAAACAGG